RNAcentral lists this transfer RNA (73 nucleotides) under Fidelibacterota bacterium. Its description in RNAcentral is "tRNA-Ala". It matches the Rfam family "tRNA". Rfam says of the family: Transfer RNA (tRNA) molecules are approximately 80 nucleotides in length. The record is from RNAcentral. Lineage: Bacteria; Pseudomonadati; Fidelibacterota.
GGGGCUAUAGCUCAGUUGGGAGAGCACCUGGUUUGCAACCAGGGGGUCGUCGGUUCGAUCCCGGCUAGCUCCA